UGAAAUUUGCUCAUCCAUAAUGCAUGUGGGAUGUUUGGAGAAAAGAUGUAGAUGGUGGUGAUACAUAGGUGCGGGUGGCUUUGUUUUGCCUGAACCCAGUCAUGAUACGCCAUCGCCAUGUCGGUAUUUAGAACGGAAUUUGUUGAUGAAGAUGGUGACCUUUGCCUUGUCGGUGCCCAGUCAUGUAUCCAAGAAUUCAUCGAACAUGGACAUGUGUAUGUUGCUUUCGCCUCGUUGGUGCCCAGCAACGAAGUGUCCGAUCCCGAUUGGGAUUGUGACAUGUUAAUGGAAUAUAGUGACCUGGCCGUGUUGGCACUUGGACAUGAUUUUGUCUAGCCUUGUCGGCACUAGACAUGAGAUGGGUAUGAUGGAUUUGACCAUAACCACAUGGAGAUUAGGCCAUAGAUUUGAGAUAGACCAUUGAUAGAGCAUAUCUUUUCUCCUUUAUUUUAAGAAUCAGGGGUUACACACCGCCGAUAUAGAUGAAGCAAUCGACGAUGUAUUUUUGUGAGGAUUUUCAUCUACUCCGCAUGGGCGACGUUGAUGAAGCGAUCGUGCCAUGGUCGUAGGUUUCCGCAUGGGCGACGUUGGUGAGGCGGUCGUGCCAUGGUUGUAUAUUUUUACAUGGGCGACUUUGAUGAGGCAGUCGUGCCAUGGAUGUAAAUCUCCGCAUGGGCGACGUUGAUGAGGCGGUCGUGCCAUGGUUGUAUAUUUUACAUGGGCGACGUUGGUGAGGCGGUCGUGCCAUGGUUGUAUAUUUUUACAUGGACGACUUUGAUGAGGCGGUCGUGCCAUGAUAAAGAUUUAUGGAAUAGCCAAGUAGACAUCAUCCUUCUUCCAUCACACAAAGCUCAUUGAUGCGGUCAGAUCUUAUAACUUACCAUCAAGGCCAAUGGUUUUGGCAAAGAUCAGCAUGUUGAUGAAGCUUCGGCGUCGUCCGCGGUCGACGAAACUUUUACGGUGAACAUUGAGAAGGGGAAAAAAGGGGCGUGGAGUUGGCGGCGUGCUUGAGGGCGAGAGCUUUGGCUGGUG
RNAcentral lists this long non-coding RNA (1032 nucleotides) under Triticum aestivum (bread wheat). Its description in RNAcentral is "long non-coding RNA (TAES_LNC022037)". The record is from RNAcentral. Lineage: Eukaryota; Viridiplantae; Streptophyta; Magnoliopsida; Poales; Poaceae.